RNAcentral lists this transfer RNA (83 nucleotides) under Candidatus Kerfeldbacteria bacterium RIFCSPHIGHO2_12_FULL_48_17. Its description in RNAcentral is "tRNA-Leu". It matches the Rfam family "tRNA". From Rfam's summary of the family: Transfer RNA (tRNA) molecules are approximately 80 nucleotides in length. Their secondary structure includes four short double-helical elements and three loops (D, anti-codon, and T loops). Lineage: Bacteria; Candidatus Kerfeldiibacteriota. The record is from RNAcentral.
GCCGCCGUGGCGGAACUGGUAGACGCGCAAGUCUCAAAAACUUGUGAGGAUUCCUCAUGUCGGUUCGAGCCCGACCGGCGGUA